RNAcentral lists this ribosomal RNA (1309 nucleotides) under Coomera brayi. RNAcentral's name for it is "partial large subunit ribosomal RNA". It matches the Rfam family "Eukaryotic large subunit ribosomal RNA", at positions 34 to 956 of the family's 3401-position model. Lineage: Eukaryota; Metazoa; Platyhelminthes; Trematoda; Strigeidida; Fellodistomidae. The record is from RNAcentral.
UUAAGCAUAUCACUAAGCGGAGGAAAAGAAACUAACAAGGAUUCCCCCAGUAACGGCGAGUGAACAGGGAAUAGCCCAGCACCGAAGCCUGUGGCCAUUUGGUCACCAGGCAAUGUGGUGUUCAGGUCAUCUCGCAGAAGCACUGCCCCGCUGUAAGUCCAGCAAUGAGUAUGGCAAUUUGAACAUGGCCCAGAGAGGGUGAAAGGCCCGUAUGAGUGGGGUGCAGAAACGUCAGUGCUUCUCUGAGUAGACCUUGGAGUCGGGUUGUUUGUGAAUGCAGCCCAAAGUGGGUGGUAAACUCCAUCCAAGGCUAAAUACUUACACGAGUCCGAUAGCAAACAAGUACCGUGAGGGAAAGUUGAAAAGUACUUUGAAGAGAGAGUAAACAGUGCGUGAAACCGCUCAGAGGUAAACAGGUGGAGUUGAACUGCAAGCUCCGAGAAUUUAACUGGUGAGAGUGGCAUAUGCUUGGAUAUGUUGAUUGGCACACGGAGUCUGCUUAGCUGCAGGCCCUGCUUCGGUGGGGUGCGAGAAACCACUUGUCAAGUGCUGUGCGCUCCGAGGGUACAUCGAGUCAACUUGCCAGUGCACUUUCUCAGAGUGAUCACCACGACCGGCGCUGUCGUCUGUCUGCUGAGAUCAAACCGUGAAUACUUCGUUCCCGUAGCGCUGUAGGCACGGGAUGGCAGGUAACUUGCCUGAGCAUGCUUAUGUGAGUGUAAUCGCUGAUCUCAGUGGUACUGUGCGGUGCGCCGGAGACGGCGGUCUGUGGUGCGUACAUGCGCAUUCAGUGGAUGGCGAGUGUGGGCUUGGUUGCCAUGUUGCUUGCAAAUGCAGGCCUGGUGAUAGCUCGUGCUUGUUGGACAUUGAGCUGUGUGUGGGGCACAUUAGCGGGCCAAUAGUCUGUGGUGUAGUGGUAGACGUUCCACCUGACCCGUCUUGAAACACGGACCAAGGAGAGUAACAUGUACGCGAGUCAUUGGGCCAUACGAAACCCAAAGGCGAAGUGAAAGUAAAGGUCCAACUUUGUUGGACUAUGGUGAGAUCCGAUCGUUCUUCAAAAUCCCAUGUCGAACGAGAGGCGCAUCACCGGCCCGUCCCAUGGCGUAGACACUGUCCUCGUGACUGGUGCAUCGUCGGGGUGGAGCAUGAGCGUACAUGUUGAGACCCGAAAGAUGGUGAACUAUGCUUGCGCAGGUUGAAGCCAGAGGAAACUCUGGUGGAGGACCGCAGCGAUUCUGACGUGCAAAUCGAUCGUCAAACGUGAGUAUGGGGGCGAAAGACUAAUCGAACCAUCUAGUAGCUGGUU